CGAACGCUGGCGGCGUGCCUAAUACAUGCAAGUUGAGCGCUGAAGGUUGGUACUUGUACCGACUGGAUGAGCAGCGAACGGGUGAGUAACGCGUGGGGAAUUUGCCUUUGAGCGGGGGACAACAUUUGGAAACGAAUGCUAAUACCGCAUAAAAACUUUAAACACAAGUUUUAAGUUUGAAAGAUGCAAUUGCAUCACUCAAAGAUGAUCCCGCGUUGUAUUAGCUAGUUGGUGAGGUAAAGGCUCACCAAGGCGAUGAUACAUAGCCG
This 269-nucleotide ribosomal RNA is filed under the name Lactococcus lactis subsp. lactis. RNAcentral's name for it is "partial 16S ribosomal RNA". It matches the Rfam family "Bacterial small subunit ribosomal RNA", at positions 30 to 289 of the family's 1533-position model. The record is from RNAcentral. Lineage: Bacteria; Bacillati; Bacillota; Bacilli; Lactobacillales; Streptococcaceae.